Molecule: ribosomal RNA, 446 nt
Filed under: uncultured bacterium
Lineage: Bacteria
Description: partial 16S ribosomal RNA
Rfam family: Bacterial small subunit ribosomal RNA
Source: RNAcentral
CCUACGGGUGGCUGCAGUCGAGAAUCAUUCACAAUGGGGGAAACCCUGAUGGUGCGACGCCGCGUGGGGGAAUGAAGGUCUUCGGAUUGUAAACACCUGUCAUGUGGGAGCAAAUUAAAAAGAUAGUACCACAAGAGGAAGAGACGGCUAACUCUGUGCCAGCAGCCGCGGUAAUACAGAGGUCUCAAGCGUUGUUCGGAAUCACUGGGCGUAAAGCGUGCGUAGGCUGUUUCGUAAGUCGUGUGUGAAAGGCGCGGGCUCAACCCGCGGACGGCACAUGAUACUGCGAGACUAGAGUGAUGGAGGGGGAACCGGAAUUCUCGGUGUAGCAGUGAAAUGCGUAGAGAUCGAGAGGAACACUCGUGGCGAAGGCGGGUUCCUGGACAUUAACUGACGCUGAGGUACGAAGGCCAGGGGAGCGAAAGGGAUUAGAUACCCCAGUAGUC